GCACAUCUCUACCUAUACACUCACCACUGCCUAUUUUUCCUCCUGAAAAGAGAUAUGGAAGCAAAAAGAAAAUUUGAAAGAAAACUUAUUGCAGAAGUGUUUGUUACUAGCAUUAUGGCUAAAUUUUAUAAAACAGAAAUAAAUAAAUUUCCUGAGUGAAUAGGUAGUUAAUCACCAGAAAUCGAAUACAGGUUUGGGUGUUGUGUUUGUUUGUUGUUGUUUUGGUGUUUUUUUGUUUUGUUUUGUUUUUUGUUGUUGUUUUGUUUUAAAAAGAACAUUUUUAAGGUUUGGGAUGACAGUGGCAGAUGAAAGCACAGUUCUUGGCAAGUGGCUGGAAUUCUAGGUGGAGUAGAUGAUCAGGGUAAACGAGCAUGCUAGAGAGGGAGUGGAGGUGAAUCUCUUUCAGAUUUGUCUUUGCUGUAUUUGCAGUCUAAACACCAACGGAUUUGGUAAUCUACAGCCAAUCAAACCACCAGACAAACAACAGCCCAGUAAAGCAGCUUCAAAAAAAGCAUACAGAAAGCCAGAGCUGCCAUUCCAGCCUGUGAUUUCUCUUGCAAGAUCAAUACAUGCUUGGUGAGACUGCUGCUGGAAACCGCUAUAGCUCCAGGAACAUACGAGACGAUACACUCCUCCAACUUCCUUUGCGUCUGCUGAAUUCACACAUUUUCUGGAAAAACACAUUUUUUAAAUAAAGUUCUGCUUAAGAAAUUACA
Molecule: long non-coding RNA, 716 nt
Filed under: Numida meleagris (helmeted guineafowl)
Lineage: Eukaryota; Metazoa; Chordata; Aves; Galliformes; Numididae
Description: lncRNA (ENSNMEG00000010567.1)
Source: RNAcentral